Molecule: long non-coding RNA, 7670 nt
Filed under: Gallus gallus (chicken)
Lineage: Eukaryota; Metazoa; Chordata; Aves; Galliformes; Phasianidae
Description: lncRNA (ENSGALG00010007208.1)
Source: RNAcentral
AAAAGUGAUAAAAGACUUGAAAAUACCUUCUGUAGAGGCAUCCCAUUUUAAGAGAUUGUUCAAAGUCAACUCCAUUUAAUGUAGAAGACAAGGAGCAUAAACAAUGAACUGAAGAUAUAAAUUUGUUUUCAGGCGAGCCAGGUAAUGGGCCUCCUUGAAAGCUGAAAAGGGCCAUGCUGAGAAUGCAGGGAAAGCGAUACUGAAGACAAGGAUGUUUGUGGGACAAGAAGCAAGGCAUACCAUAAUAUUACUCCCAUUCUCCUUGGACCACCGAUUUCAAGGAUGUUCGAAGCAAGAUACAGCUGCCUCUCCGCAGUCUGUGCAUUUAGAAGAAAUGGAAAGAAGGAAUACCCCUGAGGUGGAGGUCAUCCCUGCUAGAUCACAUUUGCCUGCUCUGAUUCACUCUCAGGAGGAGCACUGCAAAGAGAAGGUACCUCUUCAUACAGAUCUUGCUGGAUACAACUGGAUCAAUUGAACUUAUGUGAGAGAGAGGUACAAAGGAAGUAAAUGCAGGUACGUAGAUAAUUUACAGGAAAGUUUAGCCAAAGUAGCUAAGUUUUUACUAACAUACAAUUAGCUGAAAGUGAUGGAUUUUCUUCAAGUGUUGGGUAACUUACUAGUUAAUACGCUGGACCAUUUUUCCUGAAUAUGUUCAGAACUGUGUAGGUUUUUGAGUCUUCUAUUUCUAAUAACAGACAGAGCAAAUUUUAAAGGAGAAGGAAAAAAGCAAAACAAAACACACACACAUGCAUACAAAAAAUGCAAAAACAAAAACAGCAACAAAAACCUCCAUUGGUGGGUUUUGGAAUCUCUUAAUCCUAUUUUUGCUUGUCUCAAUACCAUGUGCAUUUCCUGAAGGGGCUUGUGUGCUGAUCUGCACUAUUACCAUAUGUUCUACAUAUGAAAAUAAUUCGGUGAGAGUAGUUGUCUAUGUUUGUAUGCGGUGCAUAUACACAACAUACAAACACACACACACACACAUUCUUAUUUAUACUCAUAAAUCAUUGCUUUCAAGAACAGAUGCCCUUCUACUGCUCUGUACCUCAGUGUUUCUACACUCGAGAGUGCCUUAAUUUGGAAAAAAUUGCAACUGUCACAGCUCUGCUGCAGUAAUGGUUUUGUAAGAACCAACUUAAUAAAAACAUCAAGCCUCUCUGUUCCAAACAAUUUUAUUAUAGUUAACAACUCAGCCAGUUAUCAAAUAUGUUGUCACCAAUGCACUCUGUCUUCGUGAAUGAUGACAUGGACGAGCCCUGGAUUUCUGUAGUGCUUUACACAUAUACACAGUGCCUUACAGCUGUGUAGCAGCGUUUCCUUAAGGAAUAAAACUGCACAGGAAGUAGAUAGAUGAACCAUGUGAUAACUAUUUUUUGAUGAAAAGCUUCUACAGACAUCAAAUUAGUUUACCUGAAAUAAUUUAAACAACAGUAGAAUAAUUACAAAGUCCACUGUCUGGACCUUGACUUUUCUGAAACAAGCAUACAAUUUUUAAUAAUCAUGACCUUCACCUUCAGCUCUGACCUUUGUCUCUCCAAAACAUACCCCUUUGCUGUAUAUGCAUGGAUGUCUUAACAUGAAUAACCUCCUUAAUGUAGAUACUUAUAUAUCUAAACUUCACAGAGACUUUUAUGUGCCUUGAAUGUAGUUUCUAUGUAAAGUGUGUGUUCAUGUAAAAGCCAUAGUUUUCCACUUAGUACUUUUUUUCAUUAAAAGCACAUUGAUGUCACCUGCACUUUGCCCAGUGGUAAAUCUCUGUUUGAAAUAUGCUGCCUUUUUAUUGUUAUUUUUCAAGAAUAUGCUACAGAAAUGUUCUCUGUGCAUCAGAUGAACAUGGAGCUGGGUAUUAUGCUACACAGCCUUGUACUGAUAUGCAGUUUUCCUCCACUGUUUAAAUGUCUGAUAUUUCAGGGACCAAUUGGUUUAGAAAUUGAAGCUAAGAAACGUUGAAUUGAGAACUGUGACAAAAUGUCAGUUCUGUAGAGUUUUACCUUUAGAAAACACAACUGAGUUUGACUCACUAUGUUUUCUGGUAACCAGCGAAUAGAAAAUGUGUUCUUACUGAUUUUAUUUUAUUUUAUUUUAUUUUAUUUUUUUCCUAUCUCCAGAGACACAUUCAGUGUAUGGUAAACUAAAGCCAUUAUAUUAUUCCAGAAAACAGAUGUGAUAAUUAAGAACAGGAAUAAGUUUCAAAAUUCAAUGGAAAAAAUAGUUGUCAAGUUUAUUUCUGAAGAGAAGCACAAACAAAAUGCAUGCCAAUGUGUGGAUGAUUAAUGGGGGAAUUUCCAAAGUCUUUCCAUUAGUUCCUUUAUACUGCUGUACACAAUCAUGCAUGCUUUGUAUGGCCAUCAUAACUUUACGCAAUAUACUUGACCAUAAUGCCAAUCAACAGUUUCUCCUGGCAAACAGAAAGUGUUAAGAACUUCAAUACAAGAAGACUUUUUCUGCUUCAGAUGGAAUGGAUUCUGUUUGUCAUUAUUCACUUCCUCCUCAACUUGCUCAGUGUGCAUCUAAAUUAAUUCCUGUCACUUAGGUGCUCUCUUGAUAAAUACACGAUCUAUAUUUAAUGUCUCUUUAUUCUCAUUUUAUUAUACUUGUAUGCAGUAGUGAAAGAAGAUAACGGGCAGAGCAGUGUACCACAGCAGAGAAUUUGAUAUUGCUCCUUUUCACUUUUUGGUGGAACAGCUAUAUUUAGCAACACAGACUGUCAGCCACAAAUUGCCUACCUAUGUGCUCACUUUUUCCAAUCCGUGAUAUAGAAUUCUCUGUACUACAUUGAUAAAUAUCACCACGUUUCACCCAUACAGCUAUAGUAAUUGUUUCCAUAGAAACUGAUUAAUUUACAAAUGUUCUGAACUGGAAGAUUAAUUGGAAGAGGAGCAGAGGCGUAAAUCCAGUAUAAUAGGUGCUUGUGUGGGUGCUGUAAGGCUUUUGUUGCCUGUGCCAUAGGCAGUGCUUUAGUUAAGGAAAAUGAGGGGUUGAAAUUCAAUAUUUUAGGUGAGGUGUGAUUUACAAUUGCAAACAUAUAGGAGUGCAGAAGUCAAAAUAAUAAACCUUUGGUAAAUUUGCACACUCCUCCAUUUGCUACAUAUAAUUAUUUCCUGUCUGUGGUAUUAAUUCCUUGUGAGUAAAAGUUUCUCAUAGCAUGUCCUGCUUCAGUGUUGCUAAGUUCACCUAUUGAAUGCAGUUGGUUGUGUGGUGUUAGUUGUUUUUCUUUGUUUGUUUUAUUUAUGUACUUUGUCUAAAAAGCCAUUGAGUUUUUCUGUUAUGGGCAAGGAAAUUUAAAAGUUCCCAUUGUUUUUCAGUGCAGUAAAAAUAUAUUGAGAACUUCCAGUGCAUGCAGGCUGCAUUUAGCAUAAACAGGAAUCACAACAAUUGCUCGUUGUAAAUGAAAAAUCACUUGAAUUUAUGGCAUUGUUUUUUUGAUGUUUCUCUUCACAAAGAGGAAGAUAUUGCUGAGGCUACGAUCAUGGAUUUCCUUGCAAGACUGUCUUCUAGGCUCUUUGUUCUCUUUAGUUGGUGCAAAGUAGUUAUGGUAACUUACAGUGCAAUAAUUCACAUAUCCCACAAAGUUUAUUUGUUUGCUAAAAACAAACUACCUUUUUCCUCCCAGUACUUUGAAUCUCUUCUCGGGCACGCCAUUAGUGAAGUGCUUUCUUUCCAAAUCUGGAAAAAAAAAACAAAACACCAUCAAAUUGAGACUUAAUUUUAAGCUAUUUCUGAACGGAAGUAAUGAUGAAAAUAUGAAUGUUUCACCACGUUGUGAAACAUACAAGUAACUUGGAUUUAAAAACCUGUUUUUACAGCCUGUGCUUUCUAUGUUUAUGUGCUCAGGUCUUGGGGCAGCGAAGGACCCCUUACCCAAACUGUAGGCGCUACAAAUGAGCAAUGCAGUCUGGCCAAAUCUCAGUGACCCCCUCCUGCAGAGCUCAGGCUGGGCACUGUACAUUCCUUUCUGAUACUUUGGUGCUCCAGGAGGAUUUCCAAAAUCCUUUUUCCUGGGUUGGGUGCCUUAUUGAUGUCAAAAAACAAUGAAUAGAAUAGAUAUAGGAGAAAAAGAGGCAGGCACUGUGGGCUCGGUUUCAGGUGUUCAAAGACUCAUAGAAAAAGAUUCAUUCUGAAAAGUGCAUGCAAAACAUGAUUAUUUGGAAAAACAAUUAUUUGGAUUCAUUGAUGUUUAACUAUUCAGAGGGCAUCACUUGAGUUUAUGAAAAGUCAGAAAAAGUGCAGGAGAUACUAGGAUGGAUGCAAGUUUGAGGAAAGUAUCUUUGUUUAUAUUCUGGGAGAUGGGAAAAGGUGACCUCAAUUUUGAAGUUUCUGCUUCAGGACAAUGUUAACGGCCAGAUCAUUAUGUUGCAUAAAAUCUUUUUACAGCAAUAUGCUAUUUCUAACUUUUUAAAAUAUUGUGCAGGCAUAAGGACCAAAUGCCACAAUGGUUUGUUAAUAAAAUUGCCACUUUGCCUAAUACAAGACUAACUCAAAUAAUGUGGAAAACAACAUUUCAAAGUCUUUCAAAUACCCCUUCCUGAAGUAUACAUGUAAUUAAGGCUGACUGAUCUUGCAGUUAGUUAUAGUAGGUGCUGAAGUUAUUUUCUUCCCUGACAAAAGGCAGAAUGGAUGAAAUCCUCUCAGAGAUUUCCUGAUAAUGGUGCAGAUUGUGUCUUUGAAUGAGAGACCCUGAAGUUAUACAGCACUGAUACUCCAGCUGUUCACCUUCUAAUCCCCCAGGUCAGGAAUCGGUCUGUGAUUCACAGGCUUCUGCUGUCCAGGCAUGCACAAAACAUACAGUCUCUCCCCAUUUUGAUAUUAGGCUGCCUUUGUACUUGCGAGCUGAGCCUGGUUUCAUGCUGCAUCUCUUCUCAGAACACCUGCAACUCCUUUAGGUUGUUGUAAUUCCACAGCACAUCACUCUAUUUUGCCAGCAAAAAUAUUGAGUUCAGGCACAGCUGCAUCAAUUAGCUCCUCAAGUCUGCAAAUAGUGAUACUGGUGACAUUUUUUUGGAUGAAUGAGGGACCUACUGGCAAGUACAUAAAUGAAAUGAUCAACAUUCUCUUUCAUGUUUCUUUGUGUUUAAACAUUCUUUUACCAUCGUGUACUUUGAAAGUGACAGUCUUCUGCCCUUAGCUCAUAAAACACUAACAAAUAUUUUGCAUCUGUCACUACCAUGCUUCAUAGAUGCACAGAUGUACAUGCUGAUUAAAUAUACAAGGGCUGCUCUGAAAGUUAUGCCUCCUACUUUAUUAUAUUGGCCCAUGAGAUAAAUGUUGGUGUUACGGCAGUAAAGGUUGAACCUUCCCAAGAAUAUUCUGUUACAUUUUGCUGCCAUGCAACAGAUGGCAGCAGAGGGGCAGUGUGACAAAAUGGCAUCUGACAUGGAAGUGCAUGUGAAAAAAGGGGUGUUAUUGAAGUCCUCCAUACAGAACAAAUGACACCCACUGACAUUCAUCAACACUUGCUGAACAUCAGUGGAGACCAAACAAUGGAUGUGAGCGCAGUGAGGCGGUGGGUGGUCUGUUUUAGCAGUGGUGACAGUUAUAUGAAAGAUAAGUAUGGCAUGCAAGCCCUUGGCAAAAAUGCAUAGCUAAUGGUGGUGCUAAAAAUAGCUUUCUGUAGCUCAGAAUUCUCUCCAUCAAAUAGUGUUAUUGUGCUCUUUGUAUCUGUUGUAGUUUCCAUGGAAAUUAAUGGGAGACAUUACUUCCAGGGUGACCUAUAUGUAUAAAUAUGUAUUUACCUUGGUCAGAGAUAACUGAUAUUUUGUGAUACAAACUACUUUAUUAUACAACUAGUGUCUUAUGAUCACUGAAUUUCAUUAUGUUGUUGUUAUCCUGUGCUGUUCCAGAUAGUUUCUCAUCUUGUUGUCUUUCCACAGAUACCCAGCCAAAGCCAAAGGAACUAAAGCUCACUGUAUCAUUAGGAGGAUGAAUCCCUCCUGUUGCUUUAUUUCUUUUCCAUUUGUUUGUUUUUUCUUUUUGUCUUUUUUGUUUGUUUUUGUCUUUUCUCUUUUUGGUAACUAAAAUCCAGAUCUACUAGGACACAUUUUGAAGAAAAAAAUGUUGGAAUGAUGGGGAAUAUAUCCAUCAACAAGAUGAGGAAAAUAGGAUCAAAGCCCAGGAAAGAGGAAGUCAGUUGGGAGGGCUGUGCAGGUGAAUUAGAACUACAAUAGUAAUAAACACUACACCUUAAGGUUUAUGACUGACCUCAUGGGCCAGUCACUGGGGCUGACAGUUGGAGAAUAGUAUCUAUUUUCAGAUAAGUAUAAGGUUUUGAUUUGUUUUUUGUUUUUUGUUUUUUUUUUCCCAGGUUAAUGUAGAGAUAAAGCAAAUCUUCUGAACGUUUGCCCCUAGCUGGAGCCCUGAGAGACAGGAGAGUAUACAUGCAUUAGACAUCUACUCUACCCGGCUGAUUUCAGGCAAUGAUUUGGAACAGAAGAUAUGAAGAUAUGAGCUCUGCCCUGCUUGGCUUGACACAGAAAAGAGAUUUUCUGUUGAUAUCACUGUUGGGUAGAACUGGUGCUUGACGUUUUCAUUAAAAUAACAGAUACAGCUCUACUUGCUGCUGUAGCUGCAAACUCCCUUGUUUAUAUUGCCUCUGUUUUACUUUCAGGGCAGGAACAUCCCCUUGGUCCUCAGACUGUUUAGAUUCAGGGAAGCAGUGAAUGUCAGUGUGUGUGUAUGUAUUCAGUUCCCUCUCUGUACAUUUAGAAAUUGUAAAGGGAAAUUUAUUGUGAAGAGGGAAAAAAUAUAGGACUGGUUUCUGUCCCUGUGCUAAUAUCAUGGUAUUAACAUAGGUGAAUUGCUGCUGGUUGAUAUGAGCCUGGCUUCCAAGAGGACAUUCUUGUAGCACCUUGAUUGCCUGGGCCACCCCUCCAAGGAGGCUCAGCAGGCAGCCUCAGCCUUUCUUGUUUGCUGUUUUGUUGUUUCAGUUCUCAGCUGGAGAUUAUUUCUCCUUUCUGUCUCCUCUUGAUACAUGAAUGUGCUGUGUCAGGCUUGCCUUCAGGUCAGUGUCCUGUGCAGGCCUCGCCAUGGUGUCAGCAGUAAGCAGAUCUGAGAAGGCCAAAGGCAGGGCAUCAAUGGAAAAUGAGCCUAACAAAUGGGAAGUCAGGCUGGAUGGCCAGCCAUAAUGUCUUUCCUCUCACGAAACAUGACAGAAAGGCACAACAGAAAAGGCUGCUUUUCCUUAUCUUUAGCCUUUCACCUGGGUUUGUUUUUUCCUCUGUCCUAAUGGUUCCUUGUCAGCUUUUUCUGUGUCCUGACUUCCUUUCCCCUGAGCCUCUCUUGAGAGGCAGAGGAACAGGGUCUGAGCAAGGCAACAGUGGGCAACAAGCUAUAAAUUUGACAGAUUAUGAACGUGCUUCAGUGUGCUGUGUAACCUGUAAAUCAAAACCCAUUUUAAGACCAGCAAUGAAUCCCUGUAUAUCAAAAAGCAGGAGAUGUUAGAAUAGGCAGUUGCUGCCUCUUACAAUAGCUCCUCCAGAAACACAUUGUGCAGAGGGUCUUGUAUUCAUCAUUAAAAUUGUUUUCUUUCUUCCAUUAGCUGCUAUGCAGCAUGUAUGUAUUAGAAGUCACGGCUAGUAUGACUUCAUUGAUAAAGCUCCAUUGUAUCCAACAUGAAAAGAGAAUAAAAGAGGUAAUAUUCUCUGGCAUAUCAUGUGGACUCUCUUUUUACAGCAUGG